Molecule: long non-coding RNA, 401 nt
Filed under: Daucus carota (carrot)
Lineage: Eukaryota; Viridiplantae; Streptophyta; Magnoliopsida; Apiales; Apiaceae
Description: long non-coding RNA (DCAR_LNC000730)
Source: RNAcentral
GUAAUGACCCGGAUUUUUAAAAAUAUUUUUAUUAGUAUUAAAAAUAUUUUUAUUAGUAUUAAAAAUGAUUUUUUUUUAAAGAAAGGAAUAAGAUUUAAUAUUUUAUUCCAGUUUAAUGAGUUUUCAAAGGUUUAUAUUUAAACCCCGGGUUAUUGUGUUAUUGUAUUUUCAAAACUGAUUUUCAUAUAUUGUUUUGAAAAUUCUAGAUGAUUAUUAUGUGAAUAUAUGUGUGAUGUGAGUAAGUGAUAUUGGUGGAUUUGUUGGCUAAUUAAUUAUGGUUAAUUAUGAGUAUUAUAUGAUUAAUAUAUGAAUUUUUGUGAAUUUUAUAUUAUCUGGUUUAUUGCGUUAACUGCUCAUAUGUGUUCGUAUUUGAGAGAUUUCAAUUUCUAUAUGCUCAGGAG